UAUUUGAAAAAUAGGGUCGGUUCGGCCGGAUUUCACACGGGUGUUGCAUGGCUGUCGUCAGCUCGUGUCGUGAGAUGUUGGGUUAAGUCCCGCAACGAGCGUAACCCUCAUCCUUAGUUGCAUCAGGUAAUGCUGAGCACUUUAAGGAAACUGCUAGUGAUAAACUGGAGGAAGGUGGGAUGAUGUCAAGUCAUCAUGGCCCUUAUGGAGUGGGCUACACACGUGCUACAAUGGUGGCUACAAUGGGCUGCAAAGUCGCGAGGCCAAGCUAAUCCCUUAAAAGCCAUCUCAGUUCGGAUUGUACUCUGCAACUCGAGUGCAUGAAGUUGGAAUCGCUAGUAAUCGUGGAUCAGCAUGCCACGGUGAAUACGUUCUCGGGUCUUGUACACACUGCCCGUCACGCCAUGGGAAUUGGUUUCACUCGAAGCUAAUGACCUAACCGCAAGGAGGGAGUUAUUUAAAGUGGGAUCAGUGACUGGGGUGAAGUCGUAACAAGGUAGGCGUAGUGCU
RNAcentral lists this ribosomal RNA (510 nucleotides) under uncultured bacterium. RNAcentral's name for it is "bacterial SSU rRNA". It matches the Rfam family "Bacterial small subunit ribosomal RNA", at positions 998 to 1509 of the family's 1533-position model. The record is from RNAcentral.